This is a long non-coding RNA of Phascolarctos cinereus (koala), 1761 nucleotides long. The record is from Ensembl. NCBI's taxonomy places the organism in Eukaryota, Metazoa, Chordata, Mammalia, Diprotodontia, Phascolarctidae.
CUAUGACUCUGUCUGACUAAGUCUGUCCCACCUCCACUGAAGAAGCAUGGGAUUAUGGAUCUAUCUUCUCUCUAACUUUCAUGGCCUGAGAGGAAUGUAUAAGAUCACAACAUGGAAAUGAAUGGCUUCUCUGUCAUUCUGAUGUCACUUUGCCUAGAAAAGGGCUUGUGAGACUUCUAACAGGGUUCAGGGGUUCUCUGAGGCCCAAACCUAUGCUUGAGCAGAAUACUAAAACCUAGAUUUUUACCUCCACAUUUCUGUAUUGUGAUGAAUAUAUAUCUGACAGCAGCUACUGACCACAUGAACUCAGAGAGGAGAUAUUUCUUUCACAAUAAUGUGGUGACCCAGACGACAUAGGCCAUAAGGUUGGAAAGCCUGGAGCUUUCACUUCAGAAGUCCUCCGGGGCACACAAAGGUAUGUUUACUUGCAGAAUUUUGAAGGGGAAAAACUCGGCCAGGCCAUAAAGACCACUACCUCUCCACCCUCAAAAAAAAUUCCCAGAAAGGGAGACAAAUUGUCUUCUAUUUGUGUCCUGUGUAUUUUUAUGUGUUCUUCUGUAUUUUGUUUUUUGUCUCUUGUAUUUGAAUAACCAGUCUACUUAAACUUAGUUUGGCAGGCACUCAGAUGUUCUGACGAGUGAUGUGAUUCAGGCGUCCAAAGCAAGGGCUAGCUGGACUGAGAAACUCUGGGUUUAAACAGACAGGACAAGGCAUUCCUCUCCAAACUUUGUGCGCUGUUUGCCUUAAUACUUUGUGGCAAAAACAAAACUCCUUUUUUAAAAAAAAACAACCCAAACUUCAUUUUUAUGCAGGCACAUAAGCAAGACACUUGUCUACGUGCUGUGGCCAUCGUCUCUGGUUCGUGGUUCCGACCGUUAGUCAAGCGUCCUGGUUCAGUGGCCAUGGUCUGGUAUAAAACACUGCCAUGGGUCAGUCAGAGAGCCCCUUUCCAGCCUGGUUCUGGUUCUGAUCCAACGAUGGUAGGGUCACAGGCUAAGCGAUCCCGUCUUCCCAGGAAAAGAGGUGGGAGAGGAAGAAACUGGAACAAGCAAAGGGAGCUUAGAAUAGUGGGGAAGACUAUCCUCACGCCACUCACUUGGUGUCCACCUGUAUCCCAGAAGAUGGUAAUUCCUAAAAUUAAGAUGCUGCCUGAGUUUAAGUUAAUUAUAAUAAAUUUUUACACCUAGAACAGCUUUCCUUGCUAUCUGGGCUAUCUUUCAGUUCUGAUGCUCAACUCUCCUUCCCAAUAUGCAGGUAAUUAUUACCAGUGACUAGCCUUUCAGUGGGAGAUAAGAAGAAACUGCAAGAUCUCUUCUCAUCCUUAACCCUCAUCAGAUGGAGGGUGGAGAUGAGGACAAUCAAGAGAAAAGGAGAAUUUAUGGCAUUGUAAAGUAACUGGGGACGACAUCUGUAACUGAAAGGUCAUCCCUUUACUGUAAAUUUCUAAAUUACAGUUUGAGUAUUCUUGUAAAUGCUGGAAUAUCUUAGUGGAUAUUUGGUUUGCAGCUUCCUAAAACCAAGAUUCAUGCAAUCAACAGUGAAGAUUUCUUUUUUCAAUCACUCUUUCCCUUGGAGGUGAUAGAUUCAUUCUUUUAGUAGGUGAUUUCACCACCUGGAGAAUGCUAAGAAAAAAUGGUUUACAGCCUGCAGCCUGUGGGCCUCAUCAAAUGAUAGCAUACGUCUAUAUUUUCUUCUGCGAACUGUUAACAGAAUUUAAAUUAGAGGCAAAGUAGAGAAAAUAAAUUGAACUGGACUACUCCA